Molecule: ribosomal RNA, 170 nt
Filed under: Kurtzmanomyces nectairei
Lineage: Eukaryota; Fungi; Basidiomycota; Agaricostilbomycetes; Agaricostilbales; Chionosphaeraceae
Description: partial 18S rRNA
Rfam family: Eukaryotic small subunit ribosomal RNA
Source: RNAcentral
GGGCCGCACGCGCGCUACACUGACAGAGCCAGCGAGUUAUUUUUUCCUUGCCGGAAGGCCUGGGUAAUCUUGUGAAACUCUGUCGUGAUGGGGAUAGAGCAUUGCAAUUAUUGCUCUUCAACGAGGAAUUCCUAGUAAGGCAAGUCAUCAGCUUGCGUUGAUUACGUCCC